RNAcentral lists this unclassified non-coding RNA (681 nucleotides) under Hevea brasiliensis (rubber tree). The record is from RNAcentral. Lineage: Eukaryota; Viridiplantae; Streptophyta; Magnoliopsida; Malpighiales; Euphorbiaceae.
AAAAUAAAAUUAAAAAAAUGUCACCUGUUUUUUGUUCUUUCUUCUAGAAUAAACCAUACCUCGGAUCCCAUCCGGGUCAGCAACAAAACCCAAAGGCCUAUAGAACCCGAGAACUCGGGGCUCCGAAUAAAGAGCAAUAUUCGUAAUCCCUUUGCGUAACAGUUUGGUGACUAAUCUCUCCAUCACAGCUUUCCCCAAUCCAAUCCCUUGGAAAUUCGGAUCCACCACAACAUCCCAAAUAAUCGCAUUGAAUACGCCAUCGCCGGUGGCUCUGGCGAAGGCUACCGGCCGUUUUGUUUUCUCGUAUUGGAUCCAUAAAAGUGAAUCGGUGUUCUCUAAUGCGAUUUGGAUUUUCUCCGUGUCGCGUCGGGGAAAUCCGACGGCUACAAAGACGGAGUUGAGGUGGUCGAGGUUGAGAUCGGUGAUUGUACUGUGGAGAUUGAAUCCUUUUGAACGGAGAGAUUCAUCGGAGAUUGAGAGGUUUGUGGUGGUGAACGGAAUGGGAAUGGGUUGGAUUUGAGAGAAAACGGUGAGGUUACGGUGGUGGACGGUGGGUUUGAGGGUGAAGGGGGUGGAGAUGGGGUUAAAGUGAAGCAGCAUUGUUCAUGGUGAAAGGUAGGAGGAGAAAGAGGGGUAUAGAGAGAUGAAAAUGAUGAGUUUACAUAGAUAGGAUUUUUGUGU